UACGAAGGGGGCUAGCGUUGCUCGGAAUCACUGGGCGUAAAGGGUGCGUAGGCGGGGCUUUAAGUCACGGGUGAAAUCCUGGAGCUCAACUCCAGAACUGCCUUUGAUACUGAAGAGCUUGAGUUCGGGAGAGGUGAGUGGAACUGCGAGUGUAGAGGUGAAAUUCGUAGAUAUUCGCAAGAACACCAGUGGCGAAGGCGGCUCACUGGCCCGAUACUGACGCUGAGGCACGAAAGCGUGGGGAGCAAACAGG
This 253-nucleotide ribosomal RNA is filed under the name uncultured bacterium. Its description in RNAcentral is "partial 16S ribosomal RNA". It matches the Rfam family "Bacterial small subunit ribosomal RNA", at positions 524 to 776 of the family's 1533-position model. The record is from RNAcentral.